Molecule: ribosomal RNA, 292 nt
Filed under: Escherichia coli
Lineage: Bacteria; Pseudomonadati; Pseudomonadota; Gammaproteobacteria; Enterobacterales; Enterobacteriaceae
Description: partial 16S ribosomal RNA
Rfam family: Bacterial small subunit ribosomal RNA
Source: RNAcentral
GUGCCAGCAGCCGCGGUAAUACAGAGGGUGCAAGCGUUAAUCGGAAUUACUGGGCGUAAAGCGUGCGUAGGUGGUUGUUUAAGUCUGAUGUGAAAUCCCCGGGCUCAACCUGGGAACUGCAUUCAAAACUGACGAGCUAGAGUAUGGUAGAGGGUGGUGGAAUUUCCUGUGUAGCGGUGAAAUGCGUAGAUAUAGGAAGGAACACCAGUGGCGAAGGCGACCACCUGGACUGAUACUGACACUGAGGUGCGAAAGCGUGGGGAGCAAACAGGAUUAGAUACCCCAGUAGUCC